GACGAACGCUGGCGGCGUGCCUAAUACAUGCAAGUAGAACACUGAAGGAGGAGCUUGCUUCUCUGGAUGAGUUGCGAACGGGUGAGUAACGCGUAGGUAACCUGCCUGGUAGCGGGGGAUAACUAUUGGAAACGAUAGCUAAUACCGCAUAAUAGUAGAUGUUGCAUGACAUUUGCUUAAAAGGUGCAAUUGCAUCACUACCAGAUGGACCUGCGUUGUAUUAGCUAGUUGGUGGGGUAACGGCUCACCAAGGCGACGAUACAUAGCCGACCUGAGAGGGUGAUCGGCCACACUGGGACUGAGACACGGCCCAGACUCCUACGGGAGGCAGCAGUAGGGAAUCUUCGGCAAUGGACGGAAGUCUGACCGAGCAACGCCGCGUGAGUGAAGAAGGUUUUCGGAUCGUAAAGCUCUGUUGUAAGAGAAGAACGAGUGUGAGAGUGGAAAGUUCACACUGUGACGGUAUCUUACCAGAAAGGGACGGCUAACUACGUG
This 495-nucleotide ribosomal RNA is filed under the name uncultured bacterium. RNAcentral describes it as "partial 16S ribosomal RNA". It matches the Rfam family "Bacterial small subunit ribosomal RNA", at positions 28 to 507 of the family's 1533-position model. The record is from RNAcentral.